UAGACGAAAAACAUGUAUGUAACAACUAACAUUGUACAGAAGCUCAUGUUUAUAAUAACAACGUUAUCGUUACAAACACGUUAGAAAACUACUUCUAAUCUAACGCCACUAUAUCUGUACACUAAAUUGUGAGAUUUAUAUAAAAGAGAGCUUAAACUCUUUCACCCGCGAAUUUCAUAUUAUGCCAUCGAGAGAUAUAAAAGCACAAACAGUAACAUAUGAUAUACCUAUAUUCUUCGGGAGAAACUUUACCCACUGAUUUUCCUUUGCAUCUCUACGCGAAUUCCUAGCUCCCUUCUCCAUAAUAAGUCAUAACUGAGAAAAGCCAUUUGCAUUUAGAACGCUGAUACGAAUGCUAUUUCACAUGGAAGCGCGCUGAUAACCCCGAAAUGUAAAAAUAUCGUGUGCACAUUAUACAAACAACCGCUUUAUCUGUUUCAGCGAGCUAUAAAAAAUCUCGCACACACAUCCUACCAACAUUUUCCCGCGGAGGAGACAGUCGCGUAAAAAAAAUGCAUCUAGAAAACACCCGUGGUAAUAAAAAUCUCAUCGAAUUCCGACCACUCCGUGAUCUAUACUUCCGAGUAUUGAUUCGUGCUGCCAUCUUCUGGUUAUAUACGAUACGAACUUACGCACUUGUGCGACAUAAGACACAAGUUCUUAACCUCUAGGUCACAACGCACCAACUUUGUCAACGAAAGUACUCAAUGACUGCAUAACCUUUGCUCCUCUUGGUGUAACGGCAACAGCAAUUAAACCAAACCAAACAUUAUAUUACAACUGAACUAAUCGCAGGCAUGGAUUGAUGAGAUAGGUCAGCAUUUAGGUCUCAGUCAAGAGGUCAAGGACCAAAUGUUUUCACGAGCAACGAUAACACGCGAAACGAAUUACAUGGUUACCGACCAGAUCACUGAGAUCACACACACUGCUCGAAU
Molecule: long non-coding RNA, 935 nt
Organism: Priapulus caudatus
Lineage: Eukaryota; Metazoa; Priapulida; Priapulimorpha; Priapulimorphida; Priapulidae
Exons: 2
Source: RefSeq, a predicted model, not a curated record